This 509-nucleotide ribosomal RNA is filed under the name uncultured bacterium. Its description in RNAcentral is "bacterial SSU rRNA". It matches the Rfam family "Bacterial small subunit ribosomal RNA", at positions 15 to 518 of the family's 1533-position model. The record is from RNAcentral.
GAUUAUGGCUCAGGAUGAACGCUAGCGGCAGGCCUAGCACAUGCAAGUCGCGGGGCAGCACGGGUAGCAAUACCUGGUGGCGACCGGCGCACGGGUGCGUAACGCGUAUGCAACCUGCCCCCAUCAGGGGAAUAGCCCGCCGAAAGGCGGAUUAAUGCCCCAUAGGCCCAGGGCGCCGCAUGGCGCUAUGGGUAAAGCUCCGGCGGAUGGGGAUGGGCAUGCGUGCCAUUAGCUAGUUGGGGCGGUAACGGCGCACCAAGGCGACGAUGGCUAGGGGGUCUGAGAGGAUGGUCCCCCACACUGGUACUGAGACACGGACCAGACUCCUACGGGAGGCGGCAGUGAGGAAUAUUGGUCAAUGGGCGGAAGCCUGAACCAGCCAUGCCGCGUGCAGGAUGACGGCCCUACGGGUUGUAAACUGCUUUUCCCCGGGAAGAAUAAGCCCCUCGUGAGGGGUGACUGCCGGUACCGGGGGAAUAAGGAUCGGCUAACUCCGUGCCAGCCGCUGC